CGCGUAGGCGGCCUGGUAAGUCUGGAGUGAAAGUCCUGCUUUUAAGGUGGGAAUUGCUUUGGAUACUGCUGGGCUUGAGUGCAGGAGAGGUAAGUGGAAUUCCCGGUGUAGCGGUGAAAUGCGUAGAGAUCGGGAGGAACACCAGUGGCGAAGGCGACUUACUGGACUGUAACUGACGCUGAGGCGCGAAAGUGUGGGAGCAAACA
Molecule: ribosomal RNA, 206 nt
Filed under: uncultured bacterium
Lineage: Bacteria
Description: partial 16S ribosomal RNA
Rfam family: Bacterial small subunit ribosomal RNA
Source: RNAcentral